CGAUCUGUGCCGCUGUGCGUCGCCGCCUCCUCGUCUCUGCGUCUGUGCCGCUGUCACGCUGUGCGUCGCCGCCUGCGAUCUGCGUGGCCGCGUGGCUACGGUGCGGCGCUGCGCUAGUGCGCUUGUGCAGGGCAGGGCCACAGCCAGGAGCCAGUUCGGUGCAAGGGCCAUCACCCAUCAGCCAUCAGCCAACAUCCAUCAGUGAUCUGUCCUGCAGGCUGCAGUUCUGCUGCUGUCCGGUGCGCCACCAUUUGUGAUACGUGCAGGUCUAAAUCAAUGCGAAUCUGGCCGGCUGCUGAUCCAUUGACCAUUGCGAAUCUGCAUCCAGGUUACUAG
This 336-nucleotide long non-coding RNA is filed under the name Hordeum vulgare. RNAcentral describes it as "long non-coding RNA (HVUL_LNC008345)". The record is from RNAcentral. Lineage: Eukaryota; Viridiplantae; Streptophyta; Magnoliopsida; Poales; Poaceae.